CCUACGGGUGGCAGCAGUGAGGAAUAUUGGACAAUGGACGAGAGCCUGAACCAGCGAAGCAGCGUGAAGGAUGACUGCCCUCUGGGUUGUACACUUCUUUUAUAAGGGAAUAAAACGAGGCACGUGUGCCUUUUUGCAUGUACUUUAUGAAUUAGGAUCGGCUAACUUCGUGCCGGUAGCCGCGGUAAUACGGAGGAUCCGUGCGUUAUCCGGAUUUAUUGGGUUUAAAGGGAGCGUAGAUGGGUUGUUAAGUCAGUUGUGAAAGUUUGCGGCUCAACCGUAAAAUUGCAAUUGAUACUGGCAGUCUAGAGUACAGUUGAGGUAGGCGGAAUUCGUGGUGUAGCGGUGAAAUGCUUAGAUAUCACGAAGAACCCCGAUUGCGAAGGCAGCUUACUAGACUGUGACUGACAUUGAUGCUCGAAAGUGUGGGUAUCAAACAGGAUUAGAUACCCUAGUAGUC
This 460-nucleotide ribosomal RNA is filed under the name uncultured bacterium. RNAcentral's name for it is "partial 16S ribosomal RNA". It matches the Rfam family "Bacterial small subunit ribosomal RNA", at positions 338 to 795 of the family's 1533-position model. The record is from RNAcentral.